RNAcentral lists this long non-coding RNA (896 nucleotides) under Lactuca sativa (garden lettuce). RNAcentral's name for it is "long non-coding RNA (LSAT_LNC005736)". Lineage: Eukaryota; Viridiplantae; Streptophyta; Magnoliopsida; Asterales; Asteraceae. The record is from RNAcentral.
UAAAUUUCUGGUUUGCCAUUUCUUAUCAUUAUCGUAUUAGAAAAUUUUCCUUAAAAGAUUAUGCACAAAAUCUUGAUUUCAUGAUGACCAGGUCCUAAUAUUAGAUUCGGAAAAUGAUCCAGUUACCCUUCAAAAACCUAUGGAUUUCAGACACUAUUGCUCCCAAACCCUAACAUAUAUAAAUUUGUUACUAGGAAUCAAACAGGGUGAUGAACUUCUUUACAUGGAGGAAUGUCAACGUUUUCAGUUAUAAGAUUCUUAGUAUUCAAGUGGAUGCCAUUUUUGUGUACACGAAGCAAGGACAAAAUGACGUCACUUUUGUCUCCUGCCCAACCCUCCGAUAUUUCCAUUCACAAACGAAAACAGCACAAGUGCGUACCAAUUACUCCAAGUUAAAAUCAUCCUAUGAAGGUUUUUCUUUUCUCAGCUUCUUGUUUAGAUUAUGUUCUUUAUUAGAAGAUGCUUGGAUUAUCUCAUAACGAAUUAAGAUGAAUAAGUUUUAUUAUUGCAUUUUUACAUCCGAUACACGUAUGAGAUUUCGUGGUAAUAUAUUUAAUUUUUUUUUAUCUAACUUGAAACUCAAAAUUCAUUAUGGAACCAGGGAAACAGAAUCGUUUUGAUUGUUAGUUCUGUUAUGUUAUUCGUCCCUCUCAUUGUCUUGUUGAUCCGUGCACACAACCUGUUUGACAAAAUGCCAACGCAACUGUAUCUUCACAGUUUUACAAUUAAUAAUACAAUUCUACUUUACCUUGUAGAUUCACUAAACAGUCACAGAGUACAACUAAACACAGAGCUCUAAGACAUUGAAUGAAAGAGCUCAAAAUCAGAAACAGACACAGCAAGACCUCGAAUAGAUCCAGCUGCAGCAAGAAGUGCAACAAUCAAGCAUGUCAAGC